This 1102-nucleotide long non-coding RNA is filed under the name Homo sapiens (human). RNAcentral describes it as "HSALNT0070326". Lineage: Eukaryota; Metazoa; Chordata; Mammalia; Primates; Hominidae. The record is from RNAcentral.
GGGACUGCUCAUGAAAUCGCUGUUGCAAAAUUAUGUCUGGGAUAGUGAAAGAGAUCUGACCUAACCAUUUCCAUCUUGCUUCUAAACCUCCAAGCUGUCCUUGUUCAUUCCUAGGUACAAUUUUGGGAGGCACUUAGCUUACAGUUUAUAGUUUAGAACAAAGAUGAUAACAGUCCUUUCCCAAAACAAACCCCUUUCUUGCCUGGGGACUAGAGUGUCUUUGUAGACUAAUGAAUUAGUCAAAAGAUUAGAAAUUAUGGUUUAGGAGUCAUGCAGCUGGAGGCUACAAGAUUCUGACCCUCCCCAAAUUGCUCCUGGAGAUAGCAUCACUUUAUAAAGCCUGAGGUCAGCGCUUGAGAUAUUUUGCAGAGCCUGGACUUGAUGGAUCAGCUGGCACCACCCAGAUCCAUAAAUUGGCUCAUCUGAUCUUGUGGCCCCCAUCCAUCUGUGUUCUUGUGGAAUUCACCCAGAAUCACCAGUGAUUUUUAGUAUAAAUACGGCAGAGCUGGAAACCUGGAAAAUAGAACAAAAUGAAUGGAUUGGUUAUCCUACCGCUGAAGCAAUCAAAACAGCACAACUUGGGAAGAGAAAAUUUAGGGUUCACAAUUGUUUUUAGUUCUGUAAUUAAGCCAAUCAUUCGAACACAAAUAUGUUAUUUAAAAAUAAAAACCAUUUCCCUAGCUUUUAUCAGUAGACUCGUAACUUAUUUAUUUAUACCUUUAAUAGACUGUGACAGAAGAAUCCAGGUACUUAAAUUAAAAGAUGUAGGGGGAUGGUGGGGAAGGAGGAUUCUUCUAAAGUUCAACUAAAUCAUUCAAAUUAAAAAAUGUCCUUAAUGAUUUAAUUGGUUAGUAGUCACCCUGUGUAUACAACAUAAAUCCUUGAAAUGAUUAACAGAAGGGAAAGAUGGGUGGCAGCCCAUAACAGUCUCCUUAUUUAGAAAGCAUUUGGGGGCAGGUUUUAUAAUGCAGUCUUAAAAUAGCCGCUAACCAGAUUCUGAUUUCAGGAGCUGUAAGAAUGUGGAGGCCUUAGCCACAUCACCUGAGUGGUAAUUAGCAUUAAACGACACAGCAACCAUUUCUCAUUUCACACUUUAUAGGCC